Molecule: transfer RNA, 72 nt
Filed under: Teladorsagia circumcincta
Lineage: Eukaryota; Metazoa; Nematoda; Chromadorea; Rhabditida; Trichostrongylidae
Description: tRNA-Arg
Source: RNAcentral
CGACCCUGCCAGGACUCGAACCUGAAAUCUUCGAUCCGAAGUCCGACGCCUUAUCCAUUAGGCCACAAGGCC